RNAcentral lists this long non-coding RNA (876 nucleotides) under Marmota monax (woodchuck). The record is from RNAcentral. Lineage: Eukaryota; Metazoa; Chordata; Mammalia; Rodentia; Sciuridae.
CAGGAGCCGCCCGCCGGGUCAGAAGCUGCCCGGGCAGGAGCCAGCCGCCCGGGCAGGAGCCAGCCGCCCGGGCAGAAGCAGGAGCCGCCCGCCCGGGCAGAAGCAGGAGCCGCCCGCCCGGGCAGAAGCAGGAGCCGCCCGCCGGGGCAGAAGCUGCCCGGGCAGGAGCCAGCCGCCCGGGCAGGAGCCAGCCCCCCGGGCAGAAGCAGGAGCCGCCCGCCCGGGCAGAAGCAGGAGCCGCCCGCCCGGGCAGAAGCAGGAGCCAGCCGCCCGAGCAGAAGCAGGAGCCAGCCGCCCGAGCAGGAGCCAGCCGCCCGGGCAGGAGCCGCCCGCCCGGGCAGAAGCAGGAGCCGCCCGCCGGGGCAGAAGCUGCCCGGGCAGGAGCCAGCCGCCCGGGCAGGAGCCAGCCCCCCGGGCAGAAGCAGGAGCCGCCCGCCCGGGCAGAAGCAGGAGCCGCCCGCCCGGGCAGAAGCAGGAGCCGCCCGCCGUGGCAGAAGCUGCCCGGGCAGGAGCCAGCCGCCCGGGCAGGAGCCAGCCGCCCGGGCAGGAGCAGGAGCCAGCCGCCCGGGCAGAAGCAGGAGCCGCCCGCCCGGGCAGAAGCAGGAGCCGCCCCCCCGGGCAGAAGCAGGAGCCGCCCGCCCGGGCAGAAGCAGGAGCCAGCCGCCCGGGCAGAAGCAGGAGCCAGCCGCCCGAGCAGGAGCCAGCCGCCCGGGCAGGAGCCGCCCGCCGGGGCAGAAGCUGCCCGGGCAGGAGCCAGCCGCCCGGGCAGGAGCCAGCCCCCCGGGCAGAAUCAGGAGCCACCCGCCCGGGCAGAAGCAGGAGCCGCCCGCCCGGGCAGAAGCAGGAGCCGCCCGCCGGGGCAGAAGCCGCCCGGGC